GUGCACCAGUCGCGAAACUUCACACUGUGCGAAAGCACGAUGAGGGAAUCCCAAGUGCUUGCACGUAAGUGUAAGCUGUUUCUCUGUCUAAAACGCAGAGAGAGUAAGGGCUGGGUAAGACGGGUGCCAGCCGCCGCGGUAAUACCUGCAGCUCAAGUGGUGACCGUUAUUAUUGGGCCUAAAACGUCCGUAGCCGGUUUAAUAAAUGCCUGGGUAAAUUGUGUAGCUUAACUAUACGAAUUCCGGGUAGACUGUUAAACUUGAGACCGGGAGAAGUUAGAGGUACUCCUGGGGUAGAGGUGAAAUUCUGUAAUCCUAGGGGGACCACCAGUGGCGAAGGCGUCUAACUAGAACGGGUCUGACGGUGAGGGACGAAGCCCUGGGGGCGCAAAACGGGGAUUAGAUACCCCGGUAGU
Molecule: ribosomal RNA, 416 nt
Filed under: uncultured microorganism
Description: bacterial SSU rRNA
Rfam family: Archaeal small subunit ribosomal RNA
Source: RNAcentral